Molecule: ribosomal RNA, 433 nt
Filed under: uncultured bacterium
Lineage: Bacteria
Description: partial 16S ribosomal RNA
Rfam family: Bacterial small subunit ribosomal RNA
Source: RNAcentral
AACGAACGCUGGCGGCAUGCCUAACACAUGCAAGUCGAACGAGACCUUCGGGUCUCGUGGCGCACGUGUCCGUAACGCGUCGCAACCUGCCCUUAGUUUCGGAAUAACUCCUCGAAAGGGGUGCUAAUACCGGUUAAUAUCUUCUGACCAAAGAUUUAUCGACUUUGGAUGGGCACGCGAUAGAUUAGUUAGUUGUCAGUGCAAAGGCCAACCAACGCGAGGAUAUAUAGCUGGUCUGAGAGGAUGAUCAGCAACACUGGGAAUGAGACACGGCCCAUACUCAUACGGGAGGCAGCAGUAGGGAUAAUUAGAAAGUGGGAGAAAGACUGAUCCAGCAAUGGCGGGUGAGUAAUGAAAGAAUUAGGGUUGUAACGAUCUUUUCGGCGGUAUGAUAAUGACAGUACCGGGAGAAUAAGCCCCGGCUAACUCCGUG